Molecule: transfer RNA, 71 nt
Filed under: Rhipicephalus microplus (southern cattle tick)
Lineage: Eukaryota; Metazoa; Arthropoda; Arachnida; Ixodida; Ixodidae
Description: tRNA-Glu
Rfam family: tRNA
About the family: Transfer RNA (tRNA) molecules are approximately 80 nucleotides in length. Their secondary structure includes four short double-helical elements and three loops (D, anti-codon, and T loops).
Source: Rfam by way of RNAcentral
UCCGGCAUGGUCUAGUGGCUAGGAUACCUGGCUCUCAACCAGGAGGCCGGGUUCGAUUCCCGGUGUCGGAA